RNAcentral lists this transfer RNA (69 nucleotides) under Geothelphusa sp. DJL-2014. RNAcentral's name for it is "tRNA-Met". The record is from RNAcentral. Lineage: Eukaryota; Metazoa; Arthropoda; Malacostraca; Decapoda; Potamidae.
UGAAAGAUAAGCUAAUCAAGCUAAUAGGUUCAUACCCUGUAAAUGAAAGUCCACACUCUUCUCUUUCUA